RNAcentral lists this ribosomal RNA (868 nucleotides) under uncultured archaeon. RNAcentral describes it as "bacterial SSU rRNA". It matches the Rfam family "Archaeal small subunit ribosomal RNA", at positions 1 to 879 of the family's 1478-position model. The record is from RNAcentral.
UUCCGGUUGAUCCUGCCAGAGGUCACUGCUAUCGGGGUUCGAUUAAGCCAUGCGAGUCGAGAGGGUUCGGCCCUCGGCGUACUGCUCAGUAACACGCGGAUAACCUGCCCUAAGGAAGGGGAUAACCCCGGGAAACUGGGGAUAAUACCCUAUAGGUUACAGAUGCUGGAAUGCUCUGUAACCGAAAGCUCCGGCGCCUUAGGAUGGAUCUGCGGCCGAUUAGGUUGUUGUCGGGGUAACGGCCCAACAAGCCAGUAAUCGGUACGGGUUGUGGGAGCAAGAGCCCGGAGUUGGAUUCUGAGACACGAAUCCAGGCCCUACGGGGCGCAGCAGGCGCGAAAACUUUACAAUGCGGGCAACCGUGAUAAGGGAACCUCGAGUGCCUGUAUAUGCAGGCUGUCUGGGUGUCUAAAACACACCUAAAGAAAGGGCCGGGCAAGACCGGUGCCAGCCGCCGCGGUAAUACCGGCGGCUCGAGUGGUGGCCACUUUUAUUGGGCUUAAAGCGUUCGUAGCUGGGUUAUUAAGUCCCUUGGGAAAUCCGACGGCUUAACCGUCGGGCGUCUAAGGGAUACUGGUAAUCUUGGAACCGGGAGAGGUGAGGGGUACUUCGGGGGUAGGAGUGAAAUCCUGUAAUCCUCGAGGGACCACCUGUGGCGAAGGCGCCUCACCAGAACGGCUUCGACAGUGAGGGACGAAAGCUGGGGGAGCAAACCGGAUUAGAUACCCGGGUAGUCCCAGCCGUAAACGAUGUGCGUUAGGUGUAUCGGUGACCACGAGUCACCGAGGUGCCGAAAGGGAAACCGUGAAACGUACCGCCUGGGAGUACGGUCGCAAGGGCUGAACUUAAAGGAAUUGGCGGGGGGCAC